GACGAACGCUGGCGGCGUGCUUAACACAUGCAAGUCGAACGGAAAGGCCCUGCUUUUGUGGGGUGCUCGAGUGGCGAACGGGUGAGUAACACGUGAGUAACCCGCCCUUGACUUUGGGGUAACUUCAGGAAACUGGGGCUAAUACCGGAUAGGAGCUCCUGCUGCAUGGUGGGGGUUGGAAAGUUUCGGCGGUUGGGGAUGGACUCGCGGCUUAUCAGCUUGUUGGUGGGGUAGUGGCUUACCAAGGCUUUGACGGGUAGCCGGCCUGAGAGGGUGACCGGCCACAUUGGGACUGAGAUACGGCCCAGACUCCUACGGGAGGCAGCAGUGGGGAAUAUUGCACAAUGGGCGGAAGCCUGAUGCAGCAACGCCGCGUGCGGGAUGACGGCCUUCGGGUUGUAAACCGCUUUCGCCUGUGACGAAGCGUGAGUGACGGUAAUGGGUAAAGAAGCACCGGCUAACUACGUG
RNAcentral lists this ribosomal RNA (468 nucleotides) under uncultured bacterium. RNAcentral describes it as "partial 16S ribosomal RNA". It matches the Rfam family "Bacterial small subunit ribosomal RNA", at positions 28 to 507 of the family's 1533-position model. The record is from RNAcentral.